UAUUAAAAGUUUCAUCCAUUUCGACUAUUAAAAAUUAACAUUACUGAUAGAAUAACCAAACAAUUACAAGUGACAUGCCAUGUGUAUCUCAUGUUGACGUACAAGGACUAGUUAUUAAUAAUAAAAAAUGGAUGAAAUUUUUCACA
Molecule: non-coding RNA, 146 nt
Organism: Gossypium raimondii (Peruvian cotton)
Lineage: Eukaryota; Viridiplantae; Streptophyta; Magnoliopsida; Malvales; Malvaceae
Source: Rfam